Molecule: ribosomal RNA, 549 nt
Filed under: uncultured bacterium
Lineage: Bacteria
Description: bacterial SSU rRNA
Rfam family: Archaeal small subunit ribosomal RNA
Source: RNAcentral
AAUAGAUACCCAGGUAGUCCUAGCCGUAAACGAUACUCGCUAGGUGUCGGCCACGGUGCGACCGUUGUCGGUGCCGUAGGGAAGCCGUGAAGCGAGCCACCUGGGAAGUACGGCCGCAAGGCUGAAACUUAAAGGAAUUGGCGGGGGAGCACCACAACGGGUGGAGCUUGCGGUUUAAUUGGAUUCAACGCCGGAAAUCUUACCGGGACCGACAGCAAUAUGAAGGCCAGGCUGAAGACUUUGCCGGAUUAGCUGAGAGGUGGUGCAUGGCCGUCGUCAGUUCGUACUGUGAAGCAUCCUGUUAAGUCAGGCAACGAGCGAGACCCACGCCCACAGUUGCCAGCGUACUCUCCGGAGUGACGGGUACACUGUGGGGACCGCCGCUGCUAAAGCGGAGGAAGGAAUGGGCAACGGUAGGUCAGUAUGCCCCGAAUAUCCCGGGCUACACGCGAGCUACAAUGGUUGGUACAAUGGGUAUCUACCCCGAAAGGGGAUGGAAAUCUCCUAAAGCCAAUCUUAGUUCGGAUUGAGGGCUGCAACUCGCCCUCA